This 209-nucleotide ribosomal RNA is filed under the name uncultured bacterium. RNAcentral's name for it is "partial 16S ribosomal RNA". It matches the Rfam family "Bacterial small subunit ribosomal RNA", at positions 568 to 774 of the family's 1533-position model. The record is from RNAcentral.
CGCGUAGGCGGGCGAUUGCAAGUCAGUUGUGAAAUCUCCGGGCUUAACCCGGAAAGGUCAACUGAUACUGCAGGGCUAGAGUGCAGAAGGGGCAACUGGAAUUCUCGGUGUAGCGGUGAAAUGCGUAGAUAUCGAGAGGAACACCUGCGGCGAAGGCGGGUUGCUGGGCUGACACUGACGCUGAUGCGCGAAAGCCAGGGGAGCGAACG